Molecule: long non-coding RNA, 1205 nt
Filed under: Monodelphis domestica (gray short-tailed opossum)
Lineage: Eukaryota; Metazoa; Chordata; Mammalia; Didelphimorphia; Didelphidae
Description: lncRNA (ENSMODG00000038824.1)
Source: RNAcentral
UUGAGAAGUCACAACAAAAGAAGACAAAACAUCUAGACUUUAUUGCUCAAGCUCAUCUGAGUUUUAAAAAGCAGCGUGUAUACCGACUGGGCGAUCGACUUGUCUGUCAACUCGGGGCUCCGCUGUUGCUAAGGCGGAAGGGGAACUCGAGAGUCUUCUUCCUACUUCUCAUUUGCUGUUUUCCGACCCCUCCAGCCCGAGCUUCCGGAUCCGUCAAGUCCAUAGGAAAAGAAUGCGCUCUGAGUAUUUGAUUGAUGGACGCUCUCGCCCAAUGGACGGAAGGCUUCUGCAACCUCCGGGAAACCCAAUAGAAAUUAGGGCUGGGAGAUUCCCCCCAAUGAGCGUGACUCUGGGGGCGGCGCCUGAAAGGUGAUUGGGCGAAUGCCGUCCGGGGGCGGGCGGAAGCCAAGGGGGGGAGCUCCGGGCCUGCUGGCUGGGGACGCCGCCAUUUUGGGCGCUUCGCGGAUGGUGUCGGGGAGCGCGCUUCGCGCCUGAGCGCAGCCAGCGGCAGGGCCGGAGUCACCGAGGAGUCAGGCUUGCUGGAGGGAGGACCUGGCCUGGAGGAAGCCCGUUCCGCUUUUGGACAGCUGUGAUUGUUAGGACGUUUCCUUCCCCUUGCGCCACUGCUGAGACUCUCUCACAAGGUAGGUCGGUCCAGGACAUCACCGCUCACCUCCUGAGGGUCAGAAUACCCCAGGCCUGGCUCUUGUCACACUGCUCGGCUUCUCCUGGUUUCCAAACCCCCAUCUAUGGUUGUCGCUUCAAUCACAAUGCAGAAAUAGCCAGAGAGAUGUCAGGGACCUCCUAGCUUGGUCUGAGUGAAUCCUAGUGCUCUGGAAGGUGCAGAAAACAGGACCUUGACACCCACCCAGAAGUGCCAGACCAGGUGCUGGGGAGAAAAGCGAAAGGACCAUCCCUGUGGGCCUACAGCAGGGAGGGCCUGGAAAAUAGGGGCGACAGGAUGAGUCGGAACCCAACAAGGACCUUGGGGUCCUCAAGGAAGAGACCCAGGGACCCCGUGAGGAGAGGUGGAGGGAAUCCUGUCUGGAUUCAGUUCUGCAAGCAUUAGGUGCUCAGGUUUGAGGGGCUCUGCGGUCGCCAGAAGAGACAGAUCUAAAAGGGAAUCUGCCCUUCAGUUUAUACUAUGUGGGGAGGAUACAAGAUGUUCAUAGAUUAAGGAUAAUAAAUGACCAGCAUCUCUAGCA